Molecule: long non-coding RNA, 259 nt
Filed under: Erythranthe guttata (spotted monkey flower)
Lineage: Eukaryota; Viridiplantae; Streptophyta; Magnoliopsida; Lamiales; Phrymaceae
Description: long non-coding RNA (EGUT_LNC001590)
Source: RNAcentral
UCCUACUCGCAACAUCGAUCGAUCAACACAAACAUUUCGCGAAUAUAAUAAAAUCCCGUACGGAAUAAGUAUACGUACACGAAUACCAUCAAAAUCUCGUUACGGAUACGUUAACAAACAAUUAUGCCUAUGAAAAAAAAAAUAACUCAAAAAGAGGUGAUAGAUCAAAUCCUUAGUCCCGAAAAAAACCAGCCCCGUUUUUUUUUUUCUCGUCUGGUUUCUCAAGAAACUAAAGGAUUAUUUCAAUGUGUAGAUUUUU